CUUGCAAACUGGAGAUGGCGACCGGCGCACGGGUGAGUAACACGUAUCCAACCUGCCGAUAACUCGGGGAUAGCCUUUCGAAAGAAAGAUUAAUACCCGAUGGCAUAAUAGAACCGCAUGGUUUGAUUAUUAAAGAAUUUCGGUUAUCGAUGGGGAUGCGUUCCAUUAGGCAGUUGGUGGGGUAACGGCCCACCAAACCUUCGAUGGAUAGGGGUUCUGAGAGGUUAACCCCCCACACUGGUACCGAGACACGGACCAGACUCCUACGGGAGGCAGCAUG
Molecule: ribosomal RNA, 280 nt
Filed under: uncultured bacterium
Lineage: Bacteria
Description: partial 16S ribosomal RNA
Rfam family: Bacterial small subunit ribosomal RNA
Source: RNAcentral